This is a long non-coding RNA of Populus nigra (black poplar), 1335 nucleotides long. RefSeq lists it as uncharacterized. The transcript is spliced from 3 exons. Lineage: Eukaryota; Viridiplantae; Streptophyta; Magnoliopsida; Malpighiales; Salicaceae. The record is from RefSeq and is a predicted model, not a curated record.
AACUCUAAACCACUCGUUGCUUUCAGGAAUUGAAGACCUUCCACUUCUUUGUCUUGCAAGAGGAAGGUAACUGCCGAUGCAUCUGCAUGAGGCUUAACGCCAAGAAUUCGAUCAGGCCUUGGACAUGGAGGAUAGAAGUUGAACCUUGCAGUCACAAGUGGCUGUUCUCCAUACUGGUCUAGAAAGCAGCCUUCCUCCAAGUUCCAUGACCUCGCCAUGGCUCCAAGGAGAAAGUCAACUGUAUCUUAUAUCGAGUGUCUUGUUGACUCAUUUGUAGAGUCAACUGAGAAAUAUUUUCCCUCUAGCUAGAUGUUUACAAGCAUAAUUUUUAACACAAUGAGAGCUGAGUGGAGUUUUUCAACUUCCUCUCUGCUUGUUGACGGAGAUGUGAGGCGGCUUGUAUCAAUAACUGGGAUCUCCAACACUGGAAGAGAACUGUCUAGGACUCCAUUAACACCAUCUUCAUAGAAAUAUUUUCCAGGCGGUUCUUCACUGUUCCUGACCACCUCUUGGACAGAUUUUGAUUUUGAUUCUAAUAUGGAAACAAAAGAAAGAGAGUUCGAACUAAACUUAGCCGUUAUGGAUAGCUAUACGUACCAUGGAGUUUUCUGCUGUUCCAAUUCAGAGGCAGUGACCUGCUCUAUCCAAACAUGAGUGUGGUGAAGGAUGUGUCCACGGAACUAUUGAGGAGCUAGAGGUCAUUGGGAUGGUGACAUUGUUCAGAGGUUUAAGGCAGGAAAGCUGGAAAGUACUAUUGGGUGUCUGUGGCUCCUUUCAUUGGUUUUAUCUGCUGUUUCUUGUCUGGAAGGAAGUGGCUCUGCGAUAUCAUGUUUGUCUUAUUAUCUACUUUUUGUCUUCCACGAUAUUAAUUUACUAAUUAAUCCUAGGAAACUUCUUUUCAGACUUUCAGCAAUCAUCUCUGUUGGGGAGAUUCGCUUUGGAGUUUUCAGGUGUUGAGAGAGAAUUCCAGAUCCAUUGUUGUGAUUCCGAGUGUACAGGAAUUGAAGACCUUCCACUUCUUUGUCUUGCAAGAGGAAGGUAACUGCCGAAGCAUCUGCAUGAGGCUUAACGCCAAGAAUUCGAUCAGGCCUUGGACAUGGAGGAUAGAAGUUAAACCUUGCAGUCACAAGUGGUUGUUCUCCAUACUGGUCUAGAAAGCAGCUUUCCUCCAAGUUCAAUGACCUCGCCAUGGCUCUAAGGAGAAAGUCAUUUGUCUCUUGUAACUUCACGGUGUAUUCAUGUAGGGUUUCCCUGCAGCAACGGUUAAGAACAAGGUUAGCAUGUACUUAUCAAAAUCUUAUUAAUGCAUUGGAUGGUUAUCAGCUGUAAGUUCAA